RNAcentral lists this small RNA (584 nucleotides) under Pongo abelii (Sumatran orangutan). RNAcentral's name for it is "processed transcript". Lineage: Eukaryota; Metazoa; Chordata; Mammalia; Primates; Hominidae. The record is from RNAcentral.
UGGUGUGCCUGGGCCUGAGCAGCAUCGUUGGCGUCUGGUACCUGCUGAGGAAGCACUGGAUUGCCAACAACCUUUUUGGCCUGGCCUUCUCCCUUAAUGGAGUAGAGCUCCUGCACCUCAACAAUGUCAGCACUGGCUGCAUCCUGCUGGGUGGACUCUUCAUCUACGAUGUCUUCUGGGUAUUUGGCACCAAUGUGAUGGUGACAGUGGCCAAGUCCUUCGAGGCACCAAUAAAAUGUAAGUGACCACUCCGCCACAGGGAACCCCUUCCCCCACCCCUGCCGGGCCAUGCCCCCCAGCGCAUUUCAGUCAGUGCAUCUCCCUAUCUCUUCCCCAUGUACCUCUUCCUCCUGUGGCUCUCCAGCCUGGUUUCCUUAUCCUCAUUGAUUCCUCUGGCUGUGUUCAUCCUGCCCAGGCCCCAGCCUCUGGCCACUUGGUCAUGGUGCAGCAUGGUGUGAAAUGAGCCAAAGUGGGAGCGAGCACGGAGAGGAAGUGUUUAACCCAGCCUGGGGGGCACGCGCAGGGGCUUUGAGGAGAGAAAACCUCUAAGCCGAGACCCCUCACUGGGGUCCCCUUGGUACCUG